This is a non-coding RNA of Styela clava, 1846 nucleotides long. Lineage: Eukaryota; Metazoa; Chordata; Ascidiacea; Stolidobranchia; Styelidae. The record is from RefSeq and is a predicted model, not a curated record.
AAACACCGCGACACCCGAUACGCAAGGACAUCGCGAAGUCACCCCCCGGAACAAUAAAAAACUUGAAUUUGAAGAAAGAAUUGUCAGGGGAUUCCCCAGCAACAGGAUCCAUUCAAACUCUACAAGAAGUCGAGACCCAGCUGAUAGAGGAAAGGAGAGCUCAUGAGAAGAAUAGCAGACCAAAACCCGGGGAUAAUUUGAAUCAUCUCAUACCAAGGCAAAGUACCAGUGCUGAAGAAAUUCAUCAACGCCCCACUGUUCUGCACGGCUACCCUCCUUCUCCUAAUGUACCCCCAUUUUCAAUGUCCCCCCUAUCGCCCCUAAUUUUGGGGGUAUGUAUAACCACGCCCCUUUUUCUACUUCCCCACGAAACAACAACCAGAAUCCUUUUAAUUUUGCUCGAACUCCCCCAACCAGGGGGGUUACAAUUACCCUAUUCACGAAGUCCAGGAGAUAUGAACCCCUUUGCAUAUGGGGUUUCUCCACCAAGCCCAGGAUACGGAUUUAACGCCCCAUUUGGAAAUCACCAAGGUCAAAAAGUCAUGACCCAUGACCCCAACGGAAGUCACCUAUCAAGUCAGACGUUCGUGAACACGAAUGAGAAAAACACACCACAUGGUGGCAGAGAAGUGCACUAUAACGCUUCACAUAGCGCUCCUCCCUUUUUUGGGGUGAAUCCCCAUCAUUCUUACCCCCCAAAUAGGCCCCUCCCUCAACAAGGACAUUACUGGCCCCCUAAUCAGAGAAAAUAAGAAAAAUGAUUCAAUUUUAGUUAACUUAGUAUUGUUAGUUCUUAUACAGUAUUUUAUGUGUUAACUUGAUCGAGAUAUGGAAUUCUAAAACGCUGUGUGAAAUUGUAGGAAUUUUAGCUGUAACUGUUAAAUUUAUUUAUUAAAUUGAUUAUUAUCAAAAAAUAAAGGGGGGGAUGUAGGAUAAAAGAUAUCAUUGUAUAUCAGAUAGAGCCUUGUUCUGAUAGAAAAUGUAAAAAAUAUGGGACUUGGAUGUAGCAGAAUGUCAAUUUUAUUCCAAAUAGAUAAAUUGUAUCACACGAUCAUGGGUUGCUAGAAAUGAGAAACGCUCUUGAAAUGCUGAAAUGGUGCUGGGCUGUAGAAAUAGAGAGUUUAUUCAAAAAGCCAUAUUUCCAGAGGGGGUGGGGGGCGAACUGAAUUUCCUGAAAAUAGGUUAUCUCUAUUUUUUUAUCUAAACUUAUCUAAAAAAUGAAGACUGUAAUUUGGUUGCAGAUAUUUGCAUUAUGGAUGUAAAUUCUAUUUCUAAACUUUGUUAUUGAAUAUUGGAACUGAUAGUGGUAUGGUUGUUAAUCUGGGUAACUUUUCUUGCAUUGCGCCAGUGGUCCUCGACCCGUGAUACAAUUUAUUAUGGCCUGCCGAAGAGUGAAAAAGAUUAACACUUUGUUUUUUUGGGGUUCUGGAUAUUGCCAAUGGAUUUUGUCAUUAUCACAGAUUAGGCAUAUGUAUAUUUGUAGCAAUUCGGUACCUUAAUUAUACAUCCGGAAACAUACUGCUCAUGAUGGCACUCUCCAACCAACGUCCUAUCUGGGAAUUUCAUUUGAAAGUAGAUUUAAAAAGUAGGAUAGGAUUCACAUAUAUCUUGUGGGAGAGGAAAGCCAAUAACACUGUAUGUUAUAUAAACAAUGCUAAACUCUUACGCCUAAGCAGGAUUCAAAAUUUCUGAUCAGGUUUUUGUUUAAUCUAGAUCAGACCUUAGACCCUGGGCGUAAGAAUUAUUUUAUGGUCUGGAUAUAUCUUAAUUGUGGAGGCGAUUGAGUUCCCACAGCCCCAACAUUUUUGUGAUUCUAAUAUUUAGCACUGUAAUAAGACUGAAAAAA